GUCGGAGUGGAGUCAGAGUCAGAGUGGAGUCGGAGUGGAGUCGGAGUCAGAGUGGAGACAGAGUCAGAACGGAGACAGAGUCAGAGUGGAGUCAGAGUGGAGUCAGAGUCGGAGUGGAGUCAGAGACAGAGUGGAGACAGAGUCAGAGUGGAGACAGAGUCAGAGUGGAGUCAGAGUCGGAGUGGAGUCGGAGUCAGAGUGGAAUCAGAGUCAGAGUCAGAGUGGAGACAGAGUCAGAGUGGAAUCAGAGUCAGAGUGGAGACAGAGUGGAGUCAGAGUCGGAGUGGAGUCAGAGGAAAAGUGGAGUUGGAGUCAGAGUGGAAUCAGAGUCAGAUCAGAGUCGGAGUGGAGUCAGAGGAAAAGUGGAGUUGGAGUCAGAGUGGAAUCAGAGUCAGAGUGGAGUUGGAGUCAGAGUGGAAUCAGAGUCAGAGUGGAGUCAGAGUCAGAGUGGAGACAGAGUGGAGUCAGAGUCAGAGUGGAGUCAGAGUCUUAGUGGAGUUGGAGUCAGAGUGGAAUCAGAGUCGGAGACGGAGUCAGAGUGGAGUUGGAGUCAGAGUGGAAUCAGAGUCAGAGUCGGAGUGGAGUUGGAGUCAGAGUGGAGUCAGAAUCAGAGUGUAGUCAGAGUCGAGUCAGAGUGGAGUCAGAGUGGAGACAGAGUCGAGUCAGAGUGGAGACAGAGUCGAGUCAGUGUUGGAGCGGAGUCAGAGUCAGAGUCGGCGCGGAGUCAGAGUCGGAGUGGAGUCGGAGUCAGAGUGGAGUCUGAGUCGGAAUGGAGUUGGAGACAGAGUGGAGUCAGUGUGGAGUAAGAGACGGAGUGGAGUUGGAGUCAGAGUGGAAUUAGAGUCAGAGUGGAGUCAGAGUCGGAGUGGAGACGGAGUCAGAGUCAGAGUGGAGUCAGAGUCAGAGAGAAGACAGAGACAGAGUCAGAGUGGAGUCAGAGUCAGAGUGGAGUUGGAGUCAGAGUGGAAUCAGAGUCAGAGUCGGAGUGGAGUUGGAGUCAGAGUGGAGUCAGAGUCAGAGUGGAGUCAGAGUGGAGUCAGAGUGGAGACAGAGUCGAGUGGGAGUCGGAGCGGAGUCAGAGUCAGGGCGGAGUCGGAGUCAGAGUGGAAUCAGAGUCAGAGUCGGAGUGGAGUUGGAGUCAGAGUAGAGUCAGAGUCGGAAUGGAAGUGGAGUCAGAGUGGAAUCAGAGUUGGAAUCAGAGUCAGAGUCAGAGUGGAGUCAGACUCAGAGUGGAGUUGGAGUCAGAGUGGAAUCAGAGUCAGAGUCAGAGUGGAGACAGAGUCAGAGUGGAGUCAGAGUCAAAGUGGAGACAGAGUCGGAGUGGAGCCAGAGUGGAGUCAGAGUCAGAAUGAAGACAGAGACAGAGUCAGAGCGGAGUCAGAGUCGGAGUGGAGUUGGAGUGGAGUCAGAGUGGAGUCAGAGUCAGAGUGGAGUCGGAAUGGAGUUGGAGUCAGAGUGGAGUCAGAGUCGGAGUGGAGUCGGAGUCAGAGUGGUGUAAUUAGUAAUUUAUAUUUUGGGAAACAGACCCAAGUAAAUUAGUGAGAAAUAAUGGUCAUGAGAAACAAACAUAAAUAAUAACUGCUGCAACUGAUAAAAAAUCCAGUCCUGUGUGUCUCCAGCUCGAUGUGUUGAUUUUACAUUCUAUACACUAAUAAUAAACACUUUGUCCAGUUACAUAUGCAUGUGUUUUUGUGUAUGUGUAUGUGUAUGUGUGUGAGUCAGUGUUUAAAGACCAUUCUGAAUUAAACAGAAGAGACCGAGUGUGUUCUAGCGGUUUCUCUAGUGAGAAACUGUAUAUUUGUGAUAAGUGGAACAUCCAAGACAACAGCAGCGCGUCGAUAAAAACUUCACAGAGGAGACAGAGCUGAAGACAAACGUCCUCAGAGAGACAGUGUGUGUGUGUGUGUGUGUGUUGGAGAUCAAAGGUGUGGUGCAUCAUCCAGUUCAUAACGACUCAUCACACACUCGUCAGUGGCGUUAAAGUCAAUAACGAUAAUAAAUCUCAUUUUACACUUUACUCUGUGCUGUUUUCACAACCCACCAUGCUUUGCUUUCCUGAGCAGUAAAGAAGUGGCUGGAGUCAAGCGCCCCCUGGAGGUGUGUCUAUAACAUGACUGACAGCACGGACCUGUUUUUUUUUCUUUUUCUUUGACCUUUUUUUCUUCUUUCACUUGCUUUGGAUUCUACGUUUUUAACAGAUGUUUCUUUGUCAUCACCGAUAUUUAUUUAUUUGUAGUGGUAAGAACAAUUAAAAAAAAAAAAAUCCUCACUGCACCUUUCAGGUCGGACCAUUAUUCCAAACUAGAGACUUUUCUUUCAUUACUACUGAAUCUACUCGUUCUGGAAGCCAUAAUAAGAAACACGGGCCUGUAAUUCUUUUCUGUACACGCUGCACAGCUAACUCCUGAAACAAGAACACAUUGUUAUGCUAAUGACAGCGUUAGCUGCAGUGAGCUUAACACUAACACACACACAGAGUGUUUGAUCCCGUGUAACGAGCUGAAAUUUGUGUGUGUACCUGUGUAUCCAGCAUCAUCAUCAUCACCACCAUCCACAGCUCAUAUCUCCUUCUUCCUCCUCCUCCUCCUCUUGGUCAGUUCUCACGGUCUCGUAGGGUUUCAAUCCAACCCGUCCUCCAGCAGCACUCGGGAAAGCACGCACGCUCUCUGGAACGCACUCCGGAGUGUAACUAGGGGUCAUCAGAGGUCAUCCACUACAAACACAUCCAGCACAGUGAAUGUCCGAGGGGGAGAAAGUGCAAAAAUCCAGCACUGUUUAUUUCACCACCACCACCACCACCCCACCCCCCCUUUAACCCUGAGGAUGAUUAAACGAGACGAGGAUGAGGAAAACUGAGGAAGCACCGAGCUCCAGCUGCACUGGAUUCUGGAAAAGUGCUAAGUGGUUAAGGUUCUGUGCUAUUAAUCAGAAGGUUGUGUGUUCAAAACCCACCGCCAGAGAGCUCUUGCUGAGGAAGAACCCUCAUUCCUCAGGUGAUCAGUUGUGUGCUUUUUGUAAACGUCAGGAAGUCUCCACUGGUGCUGCACUGCUUAUUAAAGAAACCCUGAACGUCUCCAUUUAAUUCCAGCCAGCUCUGAGUUACCCUUUAAAGGAUGCACACGCUCCCACAGCAGCCCAUUCUCCUCAGCAGUGAUCUCAAUUACGGACCUGCUCUAAAAAAAAUUAUAAUAAUUAAAAACCCCAACAGAAACCUUUAAGGUGUCUCUUUUAAUUCCAGAAACGUUGGAUUCUCCCUUUAAAGGACUUGUACAGUUUUCUCGGUAACGCUGCGUCCGGUUUCAGACGAAAUGCAGAUCAGCGCUCAGGUGUGAUCUUGAUUAUAGACCUCACAUCCCUUUACACUUCCAAAAGUGGAAAAGUCAAAAAGUCAAUACAAAUACAUCCCUUUAACUCCAACCACGUCAGACUGGAAUGAAAAAUGAAUUUCUAAAAAAAGAAGAACGUGUAUUCUGAUAUCUGUCCUAGCUGAGAGUCAGACAUUCAGUGUCAAGAUACAAACUGUGGAUCUUCAAAUCCAAAAAUAUGUAGAUUAAUGACGUUCCUUUAAUGACGAUGUAGCUGUAAUUGGUGUCUACCUUUGACCUUUUCAUCUGAGAGGGUACAGGUGAGAUGCUCAGGAUGCAGGUCCGUGCACACUAGAUGAUGCACACUAGAUGAUGCAUACUAGGCCACUUCAUAAAGUCUGCAACAGUGCACAAUCUUCAAUCCAACAACCGAGAUUACAAUCCCGGGUUAAACCCGAGUGUGUGCGGAUUUAAUCCGAGAUAAAUCCAGGUCAGGACAGACAGGACCGAAUGAUGAGGAUGAAGAAGAUGCAGCAGCUUCAUCAUGCCUGGUUCAUCUUUCCAUUUUUUCUCUCUCCGAAUCAUCAACACACCACAUCCCAAAUAUUCAUCCCAUUUUUAAGGCACGGCGCGCGCGUUUCUCCAUCUUUUUCCUUCCUCCAGAUUGUGCUUGAAUUCCAUCUUCUCUCUCUUUUUUUUUUUUUUUUUUUUUUUUUUUUUUUUUUGCUGCUCUGACAAAAUGGACGGCCUCUCUUGCUUUUUUUUCUUAUCUCUCGAGCUCAGUCCGUUUCCACUCCCUUUUAUUUUUCUCCCGCUCCAUUAUCACAUUCUUCCCAUAUGCAAGAAGACAAGAAAACCCUGCAGGAAUGAUAAAUCAGAGAGAAAACGCGUGCAUUCCGGUGAAAGUCUCUGCUUUUUUUUUUUUUCUUAACGCGGUGAUUGAAAUAAAACGCACCCAGAUCGACGGGAUCGGACUGCACACGCUGUAUGCUGGGUAGAGUGGCUCAAAAUCAGCACGCUCGCUCGCACUUGCAUGAUGAAAUCGGAUUGGAUGUCUGAGAACAGCCUGAAAGAAAUUCGUAAUGAAUUACAAUUUACAUGCUAAUAAAGCACUCUGUAUGCUGGGUAGACUAGGUCAAAAUUUUAAGGCUCGCUUAAUUUACAGACUGAAAUCUGAUCUGAUAUCCAAAAG
Long non-coding RNA from Ictalurus punctatus (channel catfish), 4497 nucleotides. NCBI's taxonomy places the organism in Eukaryota, Metazoa, Chordata, Actinopteri, Siluriformes, Ictaluridae. The record is from Ensembl.